RNAcentral lists this ribosomal RNA (484 nucleotides) under uncultured bacterium. RNAcentral describes it as "partial 16S ribosomal RNA". It matches the Rfam family "Bacterial small subunit ribosomal RNA", at positions 28 to 523 of the family's 1533-position model. The record is from RNAcentral.
GAUGAACGCUGGCGGCGUGCUUAACACAUGCAAGUCGAACGGUGAAGCAGGAGCUUGCUCUUGUGGAUCAGUGGCGAACGGGUGAGUAACACGUGAGCAACCUGCCCCUGACUCUGGGAUAAGCGCUGGAAACGGCGUCUAAUACUGGAUAUGUGAUGUGACCGCAUGGUCUGCAUCUGGAAAGAAUUUCGGGUGGGGAUGGGCUCGCGGCCUAUCAGCUUGUUGGUGAGGUAAUGGCUCACCAAGGCGUCGACGGGUAGCCGGCCUGAGAGGGUGACCGGCCACACAGGGACUGAGACACGGCCCAGACUCCUACGGGAGGCAGCAGUGGGGAAUAUUGCACAAUGGGCGGAAGCCUGAUGCAGCAACGCCGCGUGAGGGAUGACGGCCUUCGGGUUGUAAACCUCUUUUAGCAGGGAAGAAGCGAAAGUGACGGUACCUGCAGAAAAAGCACCGGCUAACUACGUGCCAGCAGCCGCGGUAA